GAUGAAGAACGCAGUGAAAUGCGAUAAGUAGUGUGAAUUGCAGAAUUCAGUGAAUCAUCGAAUCUUUGAACGCACAUUGCGCCCCUUGGUAUUCCGGGGGGCAUGCCUGUUCGAGCGUCAUUAUCACCCCUCAAGCUCAGCUUGGUGUUGGGGCCGGCCUCUCACAGGGCCGCCCCUAAAAGCAGUGGCGGUGCCAUCUGGCUCUACGCGUAGUAAUACUCCUCGCGACAGAGUCCCGGUGGUGUCCUGCCAGAACCCCCCAUCUUUUUAAUGAUUGACCUCGGAUCAGGUAGGGAUACCCGCUGAACUUAAGCAUAUCAAUAAGCGGAGGA
This 332-nucleotide unclassified non-coding RNA is filed under the name soil metagenome. RNAcentral's name for it is "partial contains 5.8S ribosomal RNA, internal transcribed spacer 2, and large subunit ribosomal RNA". The stretch from base 1 to 120 matches the Rfam family "5.8S ribosomal RNA", at positions 35 to 154 of the family's 154-position model. The record is from RNAcentral.